This 403-nucleotide long non-coding RNA is filed under the name Equus caballus (horse). Its description in RNAcentral is "lncRNA (ENSECAG00000047593.1)". The record is from RNAcentral. Lineage: Eukaryota; Metazoa; Chordata; Mammalia; Perissodactyla; Equidae.
GCUAUACAUCUGAAGGUGGAUGGACUGGAUCCCCAUGACACAGUGGAGAUAGUAUUUCUUCAGGGAAGAACACAGAACUCAUUCUUCUCAUAGCCUGUCUGCACUGACCAGGGAUUGUAGCAACUGCAACCUGCCUGAAUUUCCUGCUGCUGACAAGGGGAGUCAAGUCAAUCCAAGCCUCUUAGAAGGGGUAGAGAAAAAGUCCCAGAAAGAGGGUCAAGCUGAAAAAAAUACUUGAAGAAAUAACAACUGAAAACUUCCUAAAUUUGGCAAAGGACAUAAACCUACAGAUUUAAGAAGUGCUGCUAUACACCGGCUGUCACCUCCUGUUGAAUAAUUAAUUUCAGGAAACCAAAUUUGCUCAAGGAAAAAAAAACCAGAAUAAGGGGACUGGCGAUUGGCA